RNAcentral lists this non-coding RNA (894 nucleotides) under Pongo abelii (Sumatran orangutan). The record is from RNAcentral. Lineage: Eukaryota; Metazoa; Chordata; Mammalia; Primates; Hominidae.
GGGAGCUUGGAUGUGGAAGCUCUUUGGAAACCAAGAAACACUCUGCAAAUGAAAAGGGUGGAAGAGUAAACUGUUCCCGUUUCUCCAAAUUGACAGGAAGCAGAAGUUCUCCUUAGCUGAUUUUUCUUCUUGCCUUAUACUGGGUUCUUUAACACCAGAACAAAAAUAAAUAAAUAAAAGAAUCUUCCAGAAAUUCAUGAAGAGACUUCAGGUCAGGAAAGCCUGAACUUUCUCAUCUAACACCUGUUCAAGUCGGAGGAUGCUGAUUAAUUCAUGAUGGAAAGGUAUCAAUUUCACAGCCCAGACUUCUACAUUCUUGAAAUGCUGUUCUCAUGGGAGACAUUAAAUAAGCUUUGAAAUAACUGAGACGUCUGUGGAUUCUAUAACUCAAAGACCCAGGCUGAUGGCUGGUGGAAUAGCUACCAUCUCAAACAUGGCGUGAUGCUGCAUCAGAGGGAAAAAUAAGCUCUUGCACUGGCAAUGAAAUGUCUACCCUGUAGUGACUUGUGCUUACUUCCACUCACAAAUGAUUGCCCAGAGCUACUUACCUGGCUCCAAUCUACCACUGGGUGUGUACGUGCAAUCUACUGUGUACCUAGAAGAUGAGAGGAACAAAUUAUUAAUGAUGACCACACCCCAAGACUAACAAUAAUUGCAGAAGAAUCAAUGACUUAAACAAAAAUAUGGCCAUUGAAGGAAUAGAAAAUAUAGACCUUGUAUUGAAGACAGCAUAACCCCCAAGAGGAAAGGAGCUUGGAGCCCUGAAUCAGAGUAGAAGACAGGCUGAACACCAGCCUUGGACUGUUGUGUGAAUGAAAAACAAGUUUUGAGAUUUGUGUGGUUUACUUAUUAUAGUUACUGUUAUUAUUAAAGUUUUUCACUGCUUUACUCUCA